Molecule: small nucleolar RNA, 198 nt
Organism: Gorilla gorilla gorilla (western lowland gorilla)
Lineage: Eukaryota; Metazoa; Chordata; Mammalia; Primates; Hominidae
Rfam family: Small nucleolar RNA ZL1
About the family: Host gene TRRAP. Predicted target U2@U47.
Source: Rfam
AGAGAAGCAAAGUGAUGAGUAAUACUGGCUGGAGCCCCAAAGAGGCACAUGUGUGUGUGUUUGUGUGUGUGUGUAUAUGCUUGUCAGUGCAUGCACGUGUGUGUCUGGGAGUACAAAUGUGUGCGACUGGUUGUAGGGAACUAGCUAUGUGCCUUCUAUUAGGCCAUGACAGUCAAACUGAUAAGAUCUGAUUGCUUC